Molecule: long non-coding RNA, 812 nt
Filed under: Homo sapiens (human)
Lineage: Eukaryota; Metazoa; Chordata; Mammalia; Primates; Hominidae
Description: HSALNT0329256
Source: RNAcentral
AGAACAUCAAACUGUCAGUGGUAUGUAGUAUGAACUAGAAGAAGAUGGAUCUUGAAGAAGAAAAAAGAUCAGUUUACCUCAUUCAACCUUCACUGCAAUCAAGGAGGAAGCUUUAUCAUCCCUAUCUGACAGAACUGAGGACAUGGCUGAAGGAGAUUAAAAGCACAUUUGGAAAUACCGCUUUAGAUACUCUACAAGUUAACCUUGGAAUAAACCAGACUAUCAGAGGGCAUUGUCACUCACUGACGGAUUUCUUUCAUUCCUCUCUGCUUUGGCAUUAGGCAGUCAGCCACAUCAAGAGACUUCAUAAGAAACAGCCCUGUAACUCAUUUGUUGCUUUCCUGUAAGAAUGUUGUCAAGGACAUUAUUUACUUCAUUACAAAGGGUCUUCUUUGUGCUGGAGAAACUUCUCUCAGAUCUCUGUGCCAGGAAGAAUGGUGUUUCUCUCAAACACUGGGUUUGAUAUUACAGAUAGUAUAAACUAUAUAUCCAGGCACAUCCUCCUUUAGUGAGUAUAUACAAACUGGCUUCACUUCAUUUUUUUCAUCUUCCAACUUCUCCAUAAUAAUAUUUACUUUUAAAAAUGUUCUUAACAAUGAAUAUGACCAAGACAAUUUGAGGAAACCAAUCAUAAACUUUGUGUCAAUAUAGUAAGCAUGUUUCCUGCAGGGAGAUACCACUGUUCCCACUAAAAUAGAACACAACAAAAGGAGGCAGGAGAGAAAUGAAUGACUUAGGACCUGUCUAGGUUGAAAAGGCAAACUAGAAGUGGGGCACACCUAACUUGUUUAAAAAGACUUUGUCAACUAUUA